CUGAAAGGCAGGAGUGCCCGCAAGGGAGCGCGGAGACAGGUGGUGCAUGGCUGUCGUCAGCUCGUGACGUGAGAUGUUGGGUUAAGCCCCGCAACGAGCGCAACCCUCACCCCUUGUUGCUACCAGGUAAAGCUGGGCACUCUAGGGGAACUGCCCCGGUCAACGGGGAGGAAGGCGGGGAUGACGUCAAGUCAUCAUGCCCCUUACGUCCUGGGCUACACACGUGCUACAAUGGCCGGUACAAAGGGAUGCCACACCGCGAGGUAGAGCUAAACCCAAAAAGCCGGUCUAAGUUCAGAUUGGAGUCUGCAACUCGACCCCAUGAAGGAGGAAUCGCUAGUAAUCGCGUAUCAGCACGACGCGGUGAAUACGUUCCCGGGCCUUGUACACACCGCCCGUCACACCACGAAAGCCAG
This 416-nucleotide ribosomal RNA is filed under the name uncultured bacterium. RNAcentral's name for it is "bacterial SSU rRNA". It matches the Rfam family "Bacterial small subunit ribosomal RNA", at positions 1001 to 1414 of the family's 1533-position model. The record is from RNAcentral.